CCCUACACCGUGUUCACUGCUUUCUGUUCACUAAGAAGAGGAUAUUCGUUGGUCGUGUAUAUUUAAGAAGUUUGAGCUUUUCUCUUGACCUUGGAGCCUGACUGUUGCGAGAAGAAACCCCACCAGCCCCAAAGACUUAUUCCCUCAAUUUAACAGCAGACCGAGGUGUUUCUCCAGCAUCAUCGGAUCAAUGAAAACCCCAGGGACGAUGCUGAUUGCCAAAGAUUGGACAAGCUAACAAGCGCAUGAUGAGGAACCAGUUGGUUCUUCUUGCUUUCUCUCAGUUUUCGGAGGUCUUUGGGACGGGCACACACAAAAGAGAAGCUGAUCCGUGGAUGUAUUCUGUCAUUUUUUUGGAGGCUGCUUUUUCUUCCUUGUUUAGACUUGGUUCAACUUGACAGGGUGCUUUUAAGGAUAUUUCGGGGUCCAAAAAUGAGUGGAAUACCAGGAAAUCAAUGAAAGGAUGUAUUCAUGGAUCGGAGCUCGUGGACUACAUUUUAACUCCCUUUCUGUUCAAGUCACUGACUCAUUUAUCAGAGUCUUCCAUCACAAAGGUGGCCUAUUGAGAUCGACACACUUUGGUUUUUCCGUUACAUGUGGGUGAGUCUUAACGUUUUCGUUGGAUCCAUCUUAUCCCAUAUAUGAUUAGUGAUUGGUGAGAGACACAGAGAGGGAGGGACAAUUCAAACACCCAACUCACCCUCUAGUCUAAAAUAAGUGUGGUUCUAGUGGAAUUUUCCCACAUAAAAUAAAUACUAAA
Sinocyclocheilus anshuiensis is the source of this 760-nucleotide long non-coding RNA. RefSeq lists it as uncharacterized. The record is from RefSeq and is a predicted model, not a curated record. Lineage: Eukaryota; Metazoa; Chordata; Actinopteri; Cypriniformes; Cyprinidae. The transcript has 3 exons.